RNAcentral lists this non-coding RNA (29 nucleotides) under Rattus norvegicus (Norway rat). Lineage: Eukaryota; Metazoa; Chordata; Mammalia; Rodentia; Muridae. The record is from RNAcentral.
UUAAAACAUUCGCAAAGAGCCCAGAGGUC